Mauremys reevesii (Reeves's turtle) is the source of this 1793-nucleotide long non-coding RNA. RefSeq lists it as uncharacterized. The transcript is spliced from 3 exons. Lineage: Eukaryota; Metazoa; Chordata; Testudines; Geoemydidae. The record is from RefSeq and is a predicted model, not a curated record.
GCAGAUAUUAUUCAGCAGUGUCCAGAUAUGACGUUGGUACUGGCCACUACUGGAGACAAGAUAGUCAUUGGGUCUGACUCAGUCGGGAAAUUCCUAGAUUUCUGCAAAAGUACCCGAAACUACUUUUCACUUGCUUUUUGGAGCCCCUUUGUGGAGGACCAGAAUAAGGCCUAUGUAACAUUUAUGUUCAACUUGGAUCCUCACAAUAUGGCAUCAGUGGGAUUUAUAUGGUGCAUAUAGCUGUGCCGGCCCUCAGAUUUCACCCAGAUUGUCUACAGCCUUGUCCCCAGAACACCAUCCAGGAAGAUCUGAAGACUGGACAUAAAUGGAGAUGGAAACUUCACGUCACCGGAUGAAACCACCCAUUGCCUACGUUGAGAAUAUGUAGCAGUUAGAACACAACUAAAUCCCCCUGAUCUGGCCACCUCUGAAUUUUGGGAGAGUUUGGAUCAAGAACAGAACUGUAUAGGUGACCCCAAGCUUUAUAAUGGUCUGAGUCAAAAGCCUGGCUCCCAAGCCUUCCUCCUUUGGGGAAGUUCAGGUCCACUUCUGAAAUCGAUGACUCCAGCUCAGCCCUCUGAUUUUCAGUUAUCAGAGGGUGAGAUUAUUAAAAGCACUCAUCUCUGCGCCUAUUCAAAUCAAUAAUAAAGCAACAGGAACAGAGUUAGACCAAUGCUGAGCACUUUUGAAAAUCUCACCUAUAUUUAUCGGUGAUGGACAAAUCUUCCAACACCUGUAGACUCAGCCAAGAAAGCAUAAAAAGAUUCAGAGAAUUUAGUUUCUUUGGUUUCUGAAAAUGGACCAGAAACCCAGAAAGAUCAGACUUCCACAUGAGGUUUCUGCUGCUUCCCAUUUCUGGUCAAGUUAGGAACGUAGCAUACACACAGACAACCACAGGAUUGCCACAUAUAAGGACAUGGGGAGGGAUAGUCAAAAGUGUUUAUGUGAAAUAGGCUCUUUCAAUGGUCCAAGAUUGUUCUAUCAUUUGAGGGAAUCUCAGAGAAGGUACAUUCAGAACUUGUGGAUUGGUCUACCACCCUUACUAAAUGAAUUUUGCAUAGUGUGCCCUGAGUCUAAGACCAAGCGAGGCAGAUUUAAUACAGGAGAACAACAACCUUCUGAAAAGCGGCCUUCAUUGAGAAUUUGGUCUUCUGCAACACGUGACGUCUAGGCCCGUGGAAUGAUGUGUCCUCCAAAGGCUGUCACCAUUGACCUUGCUGAAAUGGCAUGAUGUAGUGCAAAGGACUGGAAUGGGCUUUUAUUAUUCUAUAAACAUGGCCAAAAACAAGGAGAAGAGAGGAGGUUGGGGGAAGAUGAAAUAGUAAAGUGGUUUGGACUCUGCAAUAAAGUGUGGAGUCUGGUGCCUGGCCCAGGGCUUUGUUUUAAUGAAAGCCAUUUGACACACAUCUAGCUGAGCGGCAAAAGUGCGCCCUCUGAAUGAUCCGACUUUCUGGCUGUAAUUUAUGCUUAUUUCUUGGAUGUGGCAUGGUAAGGGCCAGAUUGUGCUGUCAUGCAAAGCCAGGGGCUGAUUGGUCAAGUUCCACUCUAUUUCUUCCAUUUGCUGAAAGAAUAGAGACAUAUCAUCCUAUGCAGGCAGAGCCGGCACCAGCCCAGAAAGCAGGUGCUUGGAGUGGCCAACAGAGAGGGGCAGCAUGUCCGGGUCUUCGGGGGCAGUUCCCUCACUCCCUCUUGGAGCGAAGGACCAGCUGCUGAAUUGCCGCCAAAGACUGAAGUGGCGGCGGUACUGCUGGCGAUCGCGGCUUUUUUUCUUUUUCUUUUUCUUUUUGCUGCUU